Taeniopygia guttata (zebra finch) is the source of this 2942-nucleotide long non-coding RNA. The record is from Ensembl. NCBI's taxonomy places the organism in Eukaryota, Metazoa, Chordata, Aves, Passeriformes, Estrildidae.
GGGACAGCGGGCGGGGGAAUGCGGAGAGGAGGGAUGUGAUUAACCUGGCUGCGGCAUUCCCGUACAGCGGGACGGGCAGCCGGGGAGGGGAGGCACCGCAGCCCCGCCGCUCGGAGGAGCCGAGCGCGGUCGUCUCGUCGCCUGCCCGGUGCCACGGCCCAAAGGGUGACAGCAAGGACGGUGCGCAGGGCUCCGGCCUGUGUCUCUCCAGAGAAAGGACUUUCCAGAGAAACAAAUCAAGAAAAAAUAACUGGCUUAAUUUCCCUCCACCCAGCAACAGUUCUUCAUAGCUGUACACAGGGACCAUGGAGCAGCAAGAAAGGUUGUGUGGGACAGAGGCUCCUCGGGUGCUCCCACUGGCAGUGUACUUCAACACUGGGCUACAUGCAGAAGAUGCAGCUUGCACCAAGCACUUCCCCAUAGCUGAAGUUUGCAAUGGUAAGGCUAUUGUGGGCUGUGUCUCUCCGUGCCACAAAAUAAAAAUCAUCAGACGGUCCUAGCUACACCUGGCUGCACAUGUAUUUCUUAGUUAUGUCUAUUGUUUUCAUCCCAUACAGUCAUGAAGCUUGCAGAAGGUAGCAAAAUAGCCUGUAAUCUCUUUAUAAAUUCCAGAAAAGAACUCACAGCUGCAUCUCAUGACUUACAUGAAGGAGGCUGAGGUGUCAGGAGCAUACACAGGUUCUUUCCCAGCAUCUGCUGAGACAAAGGUCUCAGGCAGAGAUCUCACUGCAGAGAAUUCAUCAUCCCAAGUGACCUCAGUGGAAACAUCUUAACUUUAAACUUUGGUCUUCAGAGUGCAGGAUUUCCCAGUGGAGCGAUGCAUAUGCACUGACAUCUGCUAAGACAAAAUAACCAAGCUCAGAAGAAAGUUGCUCAUGAUCACAAGGAGUUACUGGAGCCAGCUGAACCUGAGAUUGCAGUCAAUUGGGCUGUGCCUGAGAAAUCCUUGAUCAAAACACACUUCCAGACUGUGAUCUGUAAUGGUUGUCAGCUGCAGUCUGCCUUAGUCUACAACCUAACUGCACCUUGGAGACAACCAGCUCCUGCUUGUAUCUGUGCUGUGGGACUGUCUGCUCAGAACAUGCACUCUUUGGUAGCUUCAGGUUUGUUUGUUUUCUUUUUCUACAUUUGAAAUAUAUUGCAAACUCUUCUUUUUUCAAAGGUGCUUUCUUUCAUUAUAAGUAAUAAUCACAACUACAUUUCCUUAAGGUUAGUCUGUGUUAAAGGUAUAGGAAUCCUUUGCCUUCCUGCUGAUGCUUUCCCUCCCUCCCUCCCUGCUGUUUAUGACCUGACAGAAUAGUUUCUCUCACUGAUUUGUGGACAUUCAAAGGGGUUGCCUAGUCUCUAAUUUUAUUAACAAAUUUUUGUAGCCGUUUUCUUGAAAAAAAAUAAGAGAGUAUUGAUUAAUUUUUUUUUUUUCUUUGCGUGCAAAUGGGAGGAGAGGCCUGCUCUGGCAGGAUGCUGAACAUGCUCUGCCACACAGUGCUUUCUGUCACUUACUGGGCUUUCCAGGCUAGCUGCUGGAAAUGUCACAGGAUUAAUUUCAGAAUCCCCUAAGGCGCCUGUUGGCUUUGUCCAAAAUCAUUACUCAUUCUCUGCUUUGUACUCAUUUUCUGUUACUAAAACACAGUGAGACCUUAGCUGUGUUUGCUGCAUUACUGUUAAUUUCUAUUCUGCUCCACCUGUACUCCUACCCCUUUUCCCCCAGUAUGUUACGUGAGCACCUUGCAGUGGCAGCUGGCAGUGUUCUUCUCUUAGGCAUGCUUAUUUGAUGAGCUAAGUGAUGCAAGGAAGCCAGCCCCACCUCCUCCAGGGACACUCCACUGCUGGAAAUUAGUUGCUUCUGCCUCUUGCUUCCAGUCUGUGAUAGUGCAGUGGAAAAAUCAAUAGCAGACAAAUAAUUAGACACGAUGUCAUCCUUGCAGAUAGGGAGGACUUGCAGGCAGACAGCAGAUCAUAUAUGUGCCUUAAGAAUGCUUGUGGAGAUGGAGUUAUGAUCCAAGAAUGUGCAAAUGGCUUCCCAUCCCAGUGUUGCGUGCUGUGAUGGGGAAGUAGUGCUAAACCAUCUCUAGACUUGAUUAGUGUACAAACACAAAAGGCUUGUUUUGUUAUGGGGAGGUGGUUGGGGUGAUUUUUCUAGGUGAGCAAAGAAGAAACUACGUGAAUGGAAUCUUUCUUUACCUUCUCUCUGCUGGGGGCUAAAAUAAAACUGGAGGGAGCGAUAUGGUGAGAGCUGGUGGGCUGCUCUGAGGAAGGGCACACGUGGAUUCUAUCCAGGAGCUGUAUGCAGAGCCUCAGGGAGAAGGACACCUCUGAGCCAGCCAGGAGGCCUGUCUGCUGCCCACUCCUUUCCCAGCAACCAGUGUUCUCAGGAAGUAAAAGGUCAGCAGAGGCUAUCAGCAGACUACUUCGGUGCAGAGACUUUUUUAUGACUGCAUUAACAACACUUUUCCUGUUGUUGUACAUAAGUUAUGGCUCCUAGUGUCAGUGUUGAGAUGAAAGCAGAAGCUCUUCUGUGUGGAACAAGCAUUAAAAGCUAGUGGAUGUGCUAAUUGUAAAAGAAAAUUAGUGCUGGCUGCCACCUAUUUACUUUCAGAUAAAUUUGCUUUUGUAUUUUAAUUAUUUUAACACUGUGCAUCCAUCUCUACUCUUUUGGACACAGUCAACCACAAGUUUGCCACUGUCCUCUCUCACUGCCUAACCUGGACUCUGCUUCUGUAACCCCUCCAUGAGCUCAGAUCUCAGACUUACAGGAAAAUUUAGAAUCAGAGCAGAAAAAUGGUGGAUAGGAUGGGUCUUUCAGGUGAGCAGUGUGUGAUAACAUGAUGUUCUCACAUGUUAAUGUUUGUAACUGGUUGUGAGAGGAGAGCCUCUGGUUUUAAGGAUGUACCCUUGGACAGCCUUUAACAGUGCCAUGACAAAAUAAAAAUCAUUUAUUAAAA